Molecule: ribosomal RNA, 467 nt
Filed under: uncultured Campylobacterota bacterium
Lineage: Bacteria; Pseudomonadati; Campylobacterota
Description: bacterial SSU rRNA
Rfam family: Bacterial small subunit ribosomal RNA
Source: RNAcentral
AGUGAACGCUGGCGGCGUGCUUAACACAUGCAAGUCGAACGAGAACGGAUUAUAGCUUGCUAUAAUUGUCAGCUAAGUGGCGCACGGGUGAGUAAUAUAUAGGUAACGUGCCCUAGAGAAGAGGAUAACAGUUGGAAACGAUUGCUAAGACUCUAUAUGCCUUUAAGACUUAAGUCUGCAAGGGAAAUAUUUAUAGCUCUAGGAUCGGCCUGUACAGUAUCAGUUAGUUGGUGAGGUAAUGGCUCACCAAGACAAUGACGCUUAACUGGUUUGAGAGGAUGAUCAGUCACACUGGAACUGAGACACGGUCCAGACUCCUACGGGAGGCAGCAGUGGGGAAUAUUGCACAAUGGACGAAAGUCUGAUGCAGCAACGCCGCGUGGAGGAUGACACAUUUCGGUGCGUAAACUCCUUUUAUAUGGGAAGAUAAUGACGGUACCAUAUGAAUAAGCACCGGCUAACUCCGU